AUACUUACCUGACGAGAUACACCUCGAUCGUAAAGGUGGUUAUUUCAGGGUGAGGCUCAGCCAUUGCACUCUGGCUGUGUUCACCCCUGCGAUUUCUCACCCCUGCUAUUUCUCCAAAUGCAGGAAAUUCAACUGCAUUAAUUUAUGGUAGUGGGGAACUGUGUGCAUGCUUUCCCCUA
This 179-nucleotide small nuclear RNA is filed under the name Salvator merianae (Argentine black and white tegu). RNAcentral's name for it is "U1 spliceosomal RNA (ENSSMRG00000013404.1)". It matches the Rfam family "U1 spliceosomal RNA". From Rfam's summary of the family: U1 is a small nuclear RNA (snRNA) component of the spliceosome (involved in pre-mRNA splicing). Its 5' end forms complementary base pairs with the 5' splice junction, thus defining the 5' donor site of an intron. There are significant differences in sequence and secondary structure between metazoan and yeast U1 snRNAs, the latter being much longer (568 nucleotides as compared to 164 nucleotides in human). Lineage: Eukaryota; Metazoa; Chordata; Lepidosauria; Squamata; Teiidae. The record is from RNAcentral.